Non-coding RNA from Brachypodium distachyon (stiff brome), 143 nucleotides. The record is from Rfam. NCBI's taxonomy places the organism in Eukaryota, Viridiplantae, Streptophyta, Magnoliopsida, Poales, Poaceae.
AUAUUAUUCCCUCGUCCAACAAAGUAUGUCUUAACUUUGACCAAAUCUGAAUGCAUCUAUACACUAAGACACUAAGUCAUGUCUAGAUACAUCCAAAUUUUGACAAACUUGAGUCAUCUUUUGUUGGACGGAGGGAGUAUAUA